GGCCGGUUGGCCCAAUGGUAAGGCGUCUGACUACGAAAGGUUGGUGUUCCCAAGGAGCACCAGCUAGUUAAUCAGGAGAUUCUGGGUUCGAGCCCCAGGCUGGUCA
This is a transfer RNA of 106 nucleotides. It matches the Rfam family "tRNA". From Rfam's summary of the family: Transfer RNA (tRNA) molecules are approximately 80 nucleotides in length. Their secondary structure includes four short double-helical elements and three loops (D, anti-codon, and T loops). The record is from Rfam.